GUGCCGCACGCAGGCUUCCCAUCCCCCAGCUGGCCUCCGGGGCUCCUUACCUCUCCGGUGGUCGGGCGCGAAUUACUGGAAAUUGGCUUUUCCCGUUGGGGCCGAAGGUACUUUCCCUGCGGCGGCGACUCAGCGGGGUGUCGUUCGGCCGGCGUGACGCAGCCGGAUCGGCGCCAGGCGGAAACCUAGCGGUGACUGUAUCUGAAUUUUGCAGCUGCAGAAUGUGUAGUACCUUAAAAGGAGCUAAAUUGAAGAAGGAGCGAGCGCAGCUUUUGGUCAACCCCAAAAAAAUAAUAAAGAAGCCAGAAUAUGAUUUGGAGGAAGAUGACCAGGAGGUCUUAAAAGAUCAGAACUAUUUGGAAAUUAUGGGAAGAGAUGUUCAAGAAUCAUUGAAAAAUGGCUCUGCUACAGGUGGUGGAAAUAAAGUUUAUUCUUUUCAGAAUAGAAAACACUCUGAAAAGAUGGCUAAAUUAGCUUCAGAACUAGCAAAAACACCAAAAAAAAGUGUUUCAUUCAGUUUGAAGAAUGAUCCUGAGAUUACGAUAAACGUUCCUCAAAGUAGCAAGGG
Molecule: small RNA, 568 nt
Filed under: Pan troglodytes (chimpanzee)
Lineage: Eukaryota; Metazoa; Chordata; Mammalia; Primates; Hominidae
Description: processed transcript
Source: RNAcentral